This 492-nucleotide ribosomal RNA is filed under the name uncultured bacterium. RNAcentral's name for it is "partial 16S ribosomal RNA". It matches the Rfam family "Bacterial small subunit ribosomal RNA", at positions 28 to 507 of the family's 1533-position model. The record is from RNAcentral.
GAUGAACGCUAGCUACAGGCUUAACACAUGCAAGUCGAGGGGAAACGACAUCGAAAGCUUGCUUUUGAUGGGCGUCGACCGGCGCACGGGUGAGUAACGCGUAUCCAACCUGCCCACCACUUGGGGAUAACCUUGCGAAAGUAAGACUAAUACCCAAUGAUAUCCCACGAAGACAUCUGAAUGGGAUUAAAGAUUUAUCGGUGAUGGAUGGGGAUGCGUCUGAUUAGCUUGUUGGCGGGGUAACGGCCCACCAAGGCAACGAUCAGUAGGGGUUCUGAGAGGAAGGUCCCCCACAUUGGAACGGAGACACGGUCCAAACUCCUACGGGAGGCAGCAGUGAGGAAUAUUGGUCAAUGGGCGAGAGCCUGAACCAGCCAAGUAGCGUGCAGGAAGACGGCCCUAUGGGUUGUAAACUGCUUUUAUAAGGGAAUAAAGUGGGUCACGUGUGACUUUUUGCAUGUACCUUAUGAAUAAGGACCGGCUAAUUCCGUG